GAUGAACGCUGGCGGCGUGCCUAAUACAUGCCAGUCGAGCGAACAGACGAGGAGCUUGCUCCUCUGACGUUAGCGGCGGACGGGUGAGUAACACGUAGAUAACCUACCUAUAAGACUGGGAUAACUUCGGGAAACCGGAGCUAAUACCGGAUAAUAUAUUGAACCGCAUGGUUCAAUAGUGAAAGACGGUUUUGCUGUCACUUAUAGAUGGAUCCGCGCCGCAUUAGCUAGUUGGUAAGGUAACGGCUUACCAAGGCAACGAUGCGUAGCCGACCUGAGAGGGUGAUCGGCCACACUGGAGCUGAGACACGGUCCAGACUCCUACGGGAGGCAGCAGUAGGGAAUCUUCCGCAAUGGGCGAAAGCCUGACGGAGCAACGCCGCGUGAGUGAUGAAGGUCUUCGGAUCGUAAAACUCUGUUAUUAGGGAAGAACAAAUGUGUAAGUAACUAUGCACGUCUUGACGGUACCUAAUCAGAAAGCCACGGCUAACUACGUG
This 497-nucleotide ribosomal RNA is filed under the name uncultured bacterium. RNAcentral's name for it is "partial 16S ribosomal RNA". It matches the Rfam family "Bacterial small subunit ribosomal RNA", at positions 28 to 507 of the family's 1533-position model. The record is from RNAcentral.